UGCUCCAAGGUCUGCCCUGUGCAUUGAUGAGCCUAUGGCAGGGCAAGUGAGAUGACUGUCAUGAGCUCUGCAAGGACACAGCAGUGAGGACAUGGCAAGGACCCAGCAGCAGGGACAUGGGCACAAGCAUGUGGGUGCCCCAGCUCUCACUCCCUCUAAGCAAAACCCUCUGUGCCCCAAGGUGCAGCAGCUGGCGCGACCACCCAGGAUAUCGGAAGCUCCCCAGGCAUGGCGCUGGCAGUGGCGGCCGUCGGCCUUGUCCUCCUGUCUGCAGGCAGCUGGUUUUCCAUCAAGAAAGGUGCCUGCAGAGGGAGAUGCCCAAGACUCCACCAUCGCCCACGUUCGACGGGACAGGGUGAGUCAUGGCACAGCUGUGCACAGCUCCUUUCUGC
This 392-nucleotide long non-coding RNA is filed under the name Anas platyrhynchos platyrhynchos (common mallard). RNAcentral describes it as "lncRNA (ENSAPLG00000029692.1)". Lineage: Eukaryota; Metazoa; Chordata; Aves; Anseriformes; Anatidae. The record is from RNAcentral.